ACGGGGCCCGCACAUGCGGAGGACAUGUGGUUUAAUUUCGAUGAUACGCGAGGAACCUUACCUGGGCUUAAAUGGGGAGUGACAGCUGUCGAAAGAUGGUUUUCUUCGGACACUCUUCAAGGUGCUGCAUGGUUGUCGUCAGCUCGUGCCGUGAGGUGUCGGGUUAAGUCCCAUAACGAGCGCAACCCUUACCGUUAGUUACCAUCAGGUUAAGCUGGGGACUCUAGCGGGACUGCACCGUAAGGUGAGAGGAAGGUGGGGAUGACGUCAAAUCAGCACGGCCCUUAUGUCCAGGGCUACACACGUGUUACAAUGGCCAGUACAAAGGGCAGCUACCGGGUGACCGGAUGCUAAUCUCUAAAGCUGGUCUCAGUUCGGAUCGAAGUCUGCAACCCGACUUCGUGAAGCUGGAUUCGCUAGUAAUCGCGCAUCAGCCAUGGCGCGGUGAAUACGUUCCCGGGCCUU
RNAcentral lists this ribosomal RNA (465 nucleotides) under uncultured Sphingobacteriales bacterium. RNAcentral's name for it is "bacterial SSU rRNA". It matches the Rfam family "Bacterial small subunit ribosomal RNA", at positions 916 to 1381 of the family's 1533-position model. The record is from RNAcentral. Lineage: Bacteria; Pseudomonadati; Bacteroidota; Sphingobacteriia; Sphingobacteriales.